This 73-nucleotide transfer RNA is filed under the name Ailuropoda melanoleuca (giant panda). It matches the Rfam family "tRNA". Rfam says of the family: Transfer RNA (tRNA) molecules are approximately 80 nucleotides in length. Their secondary structure includes four short double-helical elements and three loops (D, anti-codon, and T loops). The record is from Rfam by way of RNAcentral. Lineage: Eukaryota; Metazoa; Chordata; Mammalia; Carnivora; Ursidae.
ACCUGGCUGGCUCAGUCAGCAGAGCCUGUGACUUGUGAUCUCAGCGUUGUGGGUUUGACCCCCAUGUUGGGUG